RNAcentral lists this long non-coding RNA (2189 nucleotides) under Equus caballus (horse). Its description in RNAcentral is "lncRNA (ENSECAG00000045075.1)". The record is from RNAcentral. Lineage: Eukaryota; Metazoa; Chordata; Mammalia; Perissodactyla; Equidae.
CCUGCGGGUGUGACAGAGCGGGGGUCUCGAGGGCGCAGACCGGUUUGUCCGCGAUGUGAGCUGGGGGGCCGGCCCAUAGCAGACCUGAGCCUCAGGUCCAUAAAAAGGGGGUGGUCGCCCUAAGAGAUGGUGGCUCUGCCGCAGCUAGGGGGCGAGAACCUGGCGGCGCCUCAGUUUCCCCAGAUGCACUCUGGGAGAGACUGAACCGAUUGCUCCCUGAAGGUCAACAGCUGGAGCUCUUUACUGAGUGCUGACUGCCCAGGCCAGGGCUGUGGCAGGGCGUCCUUUCGGCGGUGAGGCAGGCUGUGUGCCUCGCAGGCACAUGGUGACAUUCAGACAGCAGGCCACGUGAUGGACAGCAGUCGGGGGAAGGAGGGGGGCCCUGGAGUAGCGCAGAGCCAGGCCUGGGCACAGGAGGGCCAGUCACCUGGGGGCUGCCCCCACCCUCACAGCCUUUAUGGGUGGGCCGAUGGGAUCCCAGCUCUGCUCCCUGCCACUGUGGGGUCUUGAGCAAGAACUCUGAGCCUCUCCCAGGACUGGAGAGUGCCAAGAAGGGCCCCUUGGGGGCUGUCCCCCAGGACUCUGCCCCACCCCACCCAGAGACCCACAACUCCUCCCUGUCUGACUGGACUCCUUCUUGCUGCGGCUGGGUCCACUGUGGCUCCGAAGAGGUAGGAGGUUCUCUGUGCCUCUGUCUGUCUGUCCGCACCUCCAAGAGCCAGACCCUGCCCCACGGUGGUGGAGAGACACCUGUGCUGCCCACCUAUGUCUGCCUUGGGAGACAGCUGGGGGCCGACCGCGGGGAGGUGAGGAGCCUGGGGCCCAGAGAGGGGCAGGAACUUGCUCAAGGUCACACAGAGGUUUGUGGCUGAAGAGGAAUUCUGCCACAGGAUGAGUCACACCUGCACUCCGCCUAUUGGAGCCACGUGACGCUCGGAUGGGACCGGGCUUUAGACGUUAGAGCUGACGCGGGAGUGAGUUAAGACUUUGGGCUGUUGGGAUGGAAUGUUUCUGCGUGUGAGCAGGACAGGAAUUUGAAGGCCAGGCACGGAAUGCUAUGGCCUGAAUCGUGUCCCCCCCACAGUUCAUAAUUUGAAGCACUGACCCCAACGUGAGGGUGUUUGGAGGGGGGUGACUGGGGUUAGAUGAGGUUGUGAGGGUGGGCCCCCAUGAGGGGAUCAGUGUCCUCAAAGAAGAGACUCCAGAGCUGCUCUCGGCCACAUGAAGACCCAGCGAGAAAGGGCCAUCUGCGACUGGGAAGCGAGUCCAGCCCGGAGCCCGACCAUCCUGGCAGCCUGGUCUCAGACUUCCUGCCCCAGAGGGCAAGAGAGAUGUUUCUGCUGUUUAUGUCACUCGGUCUGUGGGGUUUUGUUAUGGCAGCCCGAGCAGACUGAGACAAAUGGCCUAAUGGCCACAGUUCAGAUCUUAAAGACCACGGCCAGGACGCCCCGAGAGACAGGUGCGAAGCCCCUCCUGACCAGAGGCUGAGCUCUGACCUCAGCCCAAAAGGGAGCCCUCACUAGGGUCAUAGUGUGAGCUUUGACCCUGUCACCAAAUAAGCUCUGAUCCUGGUCACACUCUGAGCCCUGACCCUGGUCACACUCUGAGCCCUGACCUUGGUCACCUUCUGAGUCCUGAUCCAGGUCACACACUGAGCCCUGACCCUGGAUACACAUUGAGUUCUGACCCUGGUCACAUGCUGAGCCUCAUCUCCUGUCACUCAUGCUUUGAGCACACACUGAAUACAGCCCCUGAGCCUGGAUCCUCUGGUGGUCCCACUUUCUGGGAAAGUCUGUCACAAAGGGGCACGAGUCCCUGCUGUCACUCCAUGCAGUGGACAGGGUCUGGGCAUAGCUUUGACGUGACUCAGCCUUAGCCUUCUUCCUUUCCUCUGCUCUGCAGUCACCUCUUGAACUCCAGAUUUUCUUGUUCUCUCUUGACCUAGCUACCUGUCCAACCCCUGAGGCCCCAAACCAGUUGGGUUCCCUGGAGAGCCUGCCUGUUCACACGGCCCAGGAGUUUCCCCACUCUUUGCAGGGUGUGAAGCUGGGGCUGGAAGGACCAGCAGUGGGGCCAGGCCCUGGGGGCAGCAAGGCAGCUGGAGGCAGACCCGUACCUCACAGGGGGUCCUUGCUAACAGAGGACCAUGAUCUCCUGGGGCUGCCACACAGUCCCACACUGGAAGAGAC